UACGGGGGGAGCAAGCGUUGUUCGGAUUUACUGGGCGUAAAGGGCGCGUAGGCGGCGUGGUAAGUCACUUGUGAAAUCUCCGAGCUUAACUCGGAACGGUCAAGUGAUACUGCUGUGCUAGAGUACAGAAGGGGCAAUCGGAAUUCUUGGUGUAGCGGUGAAAUGCGUAGAUAUCAAGAGGAACACCUGAGGUGAAGACGGGUUGCUGGGCUGAUACUGACGCUGAGGCGCGAAAGCUAGGGUAGCAAACGGG
RNAcentral lists this ribosomal RNA (253 nucleotides) under uncultured bacterium. RNAcentral's name for it is "partial 16S ribosomal RNA". It matches the Rfam family "Bacterial small subunit ribosomal RNA", at positions 524 to 776 of the family's 1533-position model. The record is from RNAcentral.